Molecule: ribosomal RNA, 477 nt
Filed under: uncultured bacterium
Lineage: Bacteria
Description: partial 16S ribosomal RNA
Rfam family: Bacterial small subunit ribosomal RNA
Source: RNAcentral
AUGAACGCUGGCGGCGUGCUUAACACAUGCCAGUCGAACGAGAAGUGGAGACGGAAACCUUCGGGCGGAAGACUUUAUUUCGAGUGGCGGACGGGUGAGUAACGCGUGGGUAACCUGCCUCAUACAGGGGGAUAACAGUUGGAAACGACUGUUAAUACCGCAUAAGACCACAGCACCGCAUGGUGCGGGGGUAAAAACUCCGGUGGUAUGAGAUGGACCCGCGUUCGAUUAGCCAGUUGGCGGGGUAACGGCCCACCAAAGCGACGAUCGAUAGCCGAUCUGAGAGGAUGACCGGCCACAUUGGGACUGAGACACGGCCCAAACUCCUACGGGAGGCAGCAGUGGGGAAUAUUGCACAAUGGGGGAAACCCUGAUGCAGCGACGCCGCGUGAGUGAAGAAGUAUUUCGGUAUGUAAAGCUCUAUCAGCAGGGAAGAAAAUGACGGUACCUGAGUAAGAAGCCCCGGCUAACUACGUG